UACGUAGGGUGCAAGCGUUGUCCGGAAUUAUUGGGCGUAAAGAGCGCGUAGGUGGCCUGUCGCGUCGGCUGUGAAAACUCGGGGCUCAACUCCGAGCUUGCAGUCGAUACGGGCAGGCUAGAGUGCGGCAGGGGAGACUGGAAUUCCUGGUGUAGCGGUGAAAUGCGCAGAUAUCAGGAGGAACACCGGUGGCGAAGGCGGGUCUCUGGGCCGAUACUGACACUGAGGAGCGAAAGCGUGGGGAGCGAACAG
Molecule: ribosomal RNA, 252 nt
Filed under: uncultured bacterium
Lineage: Bacteria
Description: partial 16S ribosomal RNA
Rfam family: Bacterial small subunit ribosomal RNA
Source: RNAcentral